Molecule: long non-coding RNA, 1086 nt
Organism: Oncorhynchus gorbuscha (pink salmon)
Lineage: Eukaryota; Metazoa; Chordata; Actinopteri; Salmoniformes; Salmonidae
Exons: 4
Source: RefSeq, a predicted model, not a curated record
UGUUUUGAGAUCAAAGCGAGAGCUGCAUUUAGCCACCUGUGCACAUUUGUACAUUUGUUCGUAUUCAUUGCUAGUGAGUGAGUUAUUAGCCCAGUGAUAGGUCAUUUGUAGUCAACAAUAGGGGUGAUUGCUUCCUACAAGAGCACAAAAUGUGUACAUUUCUAGACACUUUUGAAGAAAUGUGUCAGUAUCUGCCUGUCUGAAGACUCGUGUCCUCUGCAGCAGGGCCUCGGGGCCUCAGGGCUUCCUGCUUCCUGGAGAGAGGCGCUCGAGACCCCAACAGAUCCACAAACCGGUAAACCGACACAGACAGACACAUGCAGUCAUAGAGUAUAGAACGUACACACUGCACUGUCCUCUGGAAUGUAACGGUAUGUAAAUCAACGUAACUGGAGGAGAGAGGCAGUCAGAUCCCUUUUACAUGAAGGAAACCUCGUGGGGAUAUCACUGAUGAACAAAACAGAGGAUGACAAUGCUUUGAAGAUGGCAGUUCAGCAGUCAUGGAUUAUUAUUAUUUGUAUGCAUGAGGAAAUGACCCGAGGGCUGUAAAGCUGGUGCUGAAGUCUCUAAGGUGUUGACGCGGGGCAAUUUCAGUUAUUCACCACGAGGAGCGAGGAGGACGGGAGGAAUACCAACCUCAUCUGAUACUCACCUGGGGCAUGAGUCUGACUGCAUUCCACACAAGUCAUUACAAUUAUGCUAAUCAAUUGCACCAUUAGGCCCGGAGCAAACACAGACACCGUCUAUAUAAACACACACCACAUAUACAGACACGCCCACUUGCACUCACACAUGGUUUGGUAUGUCGCUCUCUAAAUCCGUUACAGUUAAUAGUUAUCUUUCCAAAACUGUGUAAUCAGUAAGGUAACUGUUAGAUUAACCAAACUCAGUAACGUAAUCUGAUUACUUUGUUACUUUUGGAUUACUUUCCCCUUAAGAGGCAUUAGAAGAAGACAAAAAGGAUCCAUCAAACGCUUUUGGUGUGUCAUCAUAGUAGUCACUGACUUGUGGUCAGACUCGCUCAGGUGGAACAAAUUUAAAAUUGCGCCUUUUUUCAAUGUUUAAUUGAAUUGUAUUCAUAAAACA